Molecule: long non-coding RNA, 782 nt
Filed under: Olea europaea (common olive)
Lineage: Eukaryota; Viridiplantae; Streptophyta; Magnoliopsida; Lamiales; Oleaceae
Description: long non-coding RNA (OEUR_LNC010231)
Source: RNAcentral
UUUCAAAAAAUUCGACUGUGUUCGAGCACACAACAAUCUGACUCGAUUUAGUCUGCCCACAGAAUAUGCUAAAGAGUCUUCUUUAUGGCCUAGAUCAUUAAAUUUGAGAAUAAAAGAAUAGUUAAUAACCACACUUUCAUUUUAGUCAAAACACCAAUCAUUCUUGUUUUACCUAGAAUCAGUCACAUCAAACAUUCAUCUCAUACAUGAUGCAUCUAAGCUAGCAUUGACGUUUCUAUAUGGAUAACAAAUUAACCCUCCUCUAGCUGGUGCAGAUAUAGAUUUGCAGUGGACAAUCAACUGAAUACAAGAAAACCGAAGCUGAUGCAGAUUUUUCUAGCCGAUGAUCAACUGAAUACACGAAAAUUCAAGCUGACUGUCUGCGUCACCUCUCCAUUUCCCCAACAACCUAUAAUUUCUAUAUAUAUAUGUGUGUGUGUCAUAUAUAUACAAGGGUAGCUACUGGCAAUCUUGCACUCUCAUCACGACUCCAUCUUUACCGACUUGAGUGCAGAGAAGCUGCAGCUGCAAUUUAAAAUUAGAUACAUCAACCAGUCAUCUCGCAUUCUCAACUAUUUUCAGUAGCAUGUUUGACUUAAGCUUAAUUUUAGGGGAAAAAAAUUCUCUUACCAAGAAAGCUCUCUUUCAAAAUAACUUUUAAGCUUAGCAAAACAAGCUUGUGCACUCUUCGGAUGAAGGUAACACUAUACAGACUAUCACAAAGACAGCCUCAAAUUUUUAUAAUUACAAAAAAAAAAAAGAAAAAAAAAAAAAAAAAAAAA